Molecule: RNase MRP RNA, 474 nt
Filed under: Cordyceps fumosorosea ARSEF 2679
Lineage: Eukaryota; Fungi; Ascomycota; Sordariomycetes; Hypocreales; Cordycipitaceae
Description: Isaria fumosorosea ARSEF 2679 RNase MRP
Rfam family: RNase MRP
About the family: RNase MRP is an enzymatically active ribonucleoprotein with two distinct roles in eukaryotes. In mitochondria it plays a direct role in the initiation of mitochondrial DNA replication.
Source: Rfam by way of RNAcentral
CCUUCGCUCAACAGAUCGCUGUCGAAGCUUACACACAGAGAUACUUCAUCUGAAGCAUCUCUUCCUCUAGCUUUGGGAGAAAGUCCCCGGACACCUUCUUUUCUUCCUCACCGAUUAAAAGAACUUGCGGAAACGCGCCGCCAUAAAAGCACUGCGGCUGACUUCCGCGCCUUGGCUGCCUCUGGCAGCGACCAUGCCCGGCCCUCCGCUACAUUCGCCUACCUCGAAGCUAACGCGACACCUUUUGUUCCCAUAGCCGCCGCUCGAACCCUUACAGGAUGAAGAUACGAGUCCGAGUCGGGUGCGGUCGGGACGGAGUGUGCGCCUAGCAGACAGUGGGUGGAUGGUGGGCUGACGCUUGUGGUUCUUGCUGUGGUGGUUUCGGGCGCAGAGGAUUUUCGUCGAGGUCGAUAGUUAUGCGAUUGCUGGCCUUCACGGCUCAGUUACUCGAUGGGGCUCAUUCUUGAGGCGAAG